RNAcentral lists this ribosomal RNA (468 nucleotides) under uncultured bacterium. Its description in RNAcentral is "partial 16S ribosomal RNA". It matches the Rfam family "Bacterial small subunit ribosomal RNA", at positions 28 to 507 of the family's 1533-position model. The record is from RNAcentral.
GACGAACGCUGGCGGCGUGCUUAACACAUGCAGGUCGAACGGAAAGGCCCUGCUUUUGUGGGGUGCUCGAGUGGCGAACGGGUGAGUAACACGUGAGUAACCUGCCCUUGACUUUGGGAUAACUUCAGGAAACUGGGGCUAAUACCGGAUAGGAGCUCCUGCUGCAUGGUGGGGGUUGGAAAGUUUCGGCGGUUGGGGAUGGACUCGCGGCUUAUCAGCUUGUUGGUGGGGUAGUGGCUUACCAAGGCUUUGACGGGUAGCCGGCCUGAGAGGGUGACCGGCCACAUUGGGACUGAGAUACGGCCCAGACUCCUACGGGAGGCAGCAGUGGGGAAUAUUGCUCAAUGGGCGGAAGCCUGAUGCAGCAACGCCGCGUGCGGGAUGACGGCCUUCGGGUUGUAAACCGCUUUCGCCUGUGACGAAGCGUGAGUGACGGUAAUGGGUAAAGAAGCACCGGCUAACUACGUG